GGCUGUGUGAAUCACCUGGUUGUGACAUUUGUCACCCCACUGAUCACUAAAGUUUAGAUGUGGUAAGGUGAGCCCUUCUUCUCCCUUACUGUACCAUAUGCAUCCCUUCUGAAAAGGCAUGAUAGGUCAGAGAGGACAGCUUUUUUUUAAAAAAAAAAAAGACAGAUGAUAUUCUAUUCAGGGAAUCAGAGUACAUGUGUUGACAGUCUAAUCUCCAAAUCAGCUCUUAAGGUACAUUUGUAAUAGAAUUUAGGCUAAUUAUGCUUCCAUAGUGAUAAACUCAUUUAACUGUGUGGUAUUGCAUGUGGUAACCUGCUUUUAUU
This 323-nucleotide small nuclear RNA is filed under the name Rattus norvegicus (Norway rat). Its description in RNAcentral is "7SK RNA". It matches the Rfam family "7SK RNA". Rfam says of the family: 7SK was discovered as an abundant small nuclear RNA in the mid-70s but a possible function has only recently been suggested. Two independent studies have found that 7SK RNA binds the CDK9/cyclin T complex (known as elongation factor P-TEFb). P-TEFb activates transcription by phosphorylating the C-terminal domain of RNA polymerase II. Lineage: Eukaryota; Metazoa; Chordata; Mammalia; Rodentia; Muridae. The record is from Rfam by way of RNAcentral.